RNAcentral lists this ribosomal RNA (690 nucleotides) under Streptomyces sp. MBTD_CMFRI_St02. Its description in RNAcentral is "bacterial SSU rRNA". It matches the Rfam family "Bacterial small subunit ribosomal RNA", at positions 56 to 763 of the family's 1533-position model. Lineage: Bacteria; Bacillati; Actinomycetota; Actinomycetes; Kitasatosporales; Streptomycetaceae. The record is from RNAcentral.
UGCAGUCGAACGAUGAACCACUUCGGUGGGGAUUAGUGGCGAACGGGUGAGUAACACGUGGGCAAUCUGCCCUGCACUCUGGGACAAGCCCUGGAAACGGGGUCUAAUACCGGAUACUGACCUUCACGGGCAUCUGUGAAGGUCGAAAGCUCCGGCGGUGCAGGAUGAGCCCGCGGCCUAUCAGCUUGUUGGUGAGGUAAUGGCUCACCAAGGCGACGACGGGUAGCCGGCCUGAGAGGGCGACCGGCCACACUGGGACUGAGACACGGCCCAGACUCCUACGGGAGGCAGCAGUGGGGAAUAUUGCACAAUGGGCGAAAGCCUGAUGCAGCGACGCCGCGUGAGGGAUGACGGCCUUCGGGUUGUAAACCUCUUUCAGCAGGGAAGAAGCGAAAGUGACGGUACCUGCAGAAGAAGCGCCGGCUAACUACGUGCCAGCAGCCGCGGUAAUACGUAGGGCGCAAGCGUUGUCCGGAAUUAUUGGGCGUAAAGAGCUCGUAGGCGGCUUGUCACGUCGGUUGUGAAAGCCCGGGGCUUAACCCCGGGUCUGCAGUCGAUACGGGCAGGCUAGAGUUCGGUAGGGGAGAUCGGAAUUCCUGGUGUAGCGGUGAAAUGCGCAGAUAUCAGGAGGAACACCGGUGGCGAAGGCGGAUCUCUGGGCCGAUACUGACGCUGAGGAGCGAAAGCGUG